GGAGGGUGCAAGCGUUAUCCGGAUUCACUGGGUUUAAAGGGUGCGUAGGAGGGUAGGUAAGUCAGUGGUGAAAUCUCCGGGCUCAACUCGGAAACUGCCGUUGAUACUAUCUAUCUUGAAUACCGUGGAGGUGAGCGGAAUAUGUCAUGUAGCGGUGAAAUGCUUAGAUAUGACAUAGAACACCGAUUGCGAAGGCAGCUCACUACACGAAUAUUGACUCUGAGGCACGAAAGCGUGGGGAUCAAACAGGAUUAGAUACCCUGGUAGUCCACGCCCUAAACUAUGGAUACUCGACAUACGCGAUACACUGUGUGUGUCUGAGCGAAAGCAUUAAGUAUCCCACCUGGGAAGUACGACCGCAAGGUUGAA
RNAcentral lists this ribosomal RNA (369 nucleotides) under uncultured bacterium. Its description in RNAcentral is "bacterial SSU rRNA". It matches the Rfam family "Bacterial small subunit ribosomal RNA", at positions 527 to 898 of the family's 1533-position model. The record is from RNAcentral.